This 433-nucleotide ribosomal RNA is filed under the name uncultured bacterium. RNAcentral's name for it is "partial 16S ribosomal RNA". It matches the Rfam family "Bacterial small subunit ribosomal RNA", at positions 29 to 507 of the family's 1533-position model. The record is from RNAcentral.
AACGAACGCUGGCGGCAUGCCUAACACAUGCAAGUCGAACGAGACCUCCGGGUCUAGUGGCGCACGGGUGCGUAACGCGUGGGAACUUGCCCUUAGGUUCGGAAUACCUCCCUGUAAGGGGUGUUAAUACCGGAUAAUGUCUUCGGACCAAAGAUUUAUCGCCUUUGGAUGGGGGCGCGUUGGAUUAGCUGGUUGGUAGGGUAAAAGCCUACCAAGGGGACGAUCCAUAGCUGGUCUGAGAGGAUGAUCAGCCACACUGGGACUGAGACACGGCCCAGACUCCUACGGGAGGGAGCAGUGGGGAAUAUUGGACAAUGGGCGAAAGCCUGAUCCAGCAAUGCCGCGUGAGUGAUGAAGGCCUUAGGGUUGUAAAGCUCUUUUACCCGAGAUGAUAAUGACAGUACCGGGAGAAUAAGCACCGGCUAACUCCGUG